GGCUUGUUAGCUCAGUUGGUAGAGCGAUGCACCAAUAUUGCAGAGGUCAUGGGUUCAAAUCCCCUAAGGGCCU
Pocillopora damicornis (cauliflower coral) is the source of this 73-nucleotide non-coding RNA. The record is from the annotation of a RefSeq genome assembly. NCBI's taxonomy places the organism in Eukaryota, Metazoa, Cnidaria, Anthozoa, Scleractinia, Pocilloporidae.